AUGAAGAACGUAGCGAAAUGCGAUAAGUAAUGUGAAUUGCAGAAUUCAGUGAAUCAUCGAAUCUUUGAACGCACAUUGCGCCCGCCAGUAUUCUGGCGGGCAUGCCUGUUCGAGCGUCAUUUCAACCAUCAAGCCCCCGGCUUGUGUUGGGGACCUGCGGCUGCCGCAGGCCCUGAAAAGCAGUGGCGGGCUCGCUGUCACACCGAGCGUAGUAGCAUACAUCUCGCUCUGGGCGUGCUGCGGGUUCCGGCCGUUAAACCACCUUCAUAACCCAAGGUUGACCUCGGAUCAGGUAGGAAGACCCGCUGAACUUAAGCAUAUCAUAGCGGAGGA
Molecule: unclassified non-coding RNA, 333 nt
Filed under: soil metagenome
Description: partial contains 5.8S ribosomal RNA, internal transcribed spacer 2, and large subunit ribosomal RNA
Rfam family: 5.8S ribosomal RNA (bases 1-119)
Source: RNAcentral